This 714-nucleotide ribosomal RNA is filed under the name uncultured bacterium. RNAcentral's name for it is "bacterial SSU rRNA". It matches the Rfam family "Bacterial small subunit ribosomal RNA", at positions 367 to 1081 of the family's 1533-position model. The record is from RNAcentral.
GUCAAUGGGGGGAACCCUGAACGAGUCAAUGCCGCGUGAGUGAGGAAGGUCUUCGGAUCGUAAAGCUCUGUUGUAAGAGAAAAACGGCACUCAUAGGGAAUGAUGAGUGAGUGAUGGUAUCUUACCAGAAAGUCACGGCUAACUACGUGCCAGCAGCCGCGGUAAUACGUAGGUGGCGAGCGUUAUCCGGAAUGAUUGGGCGUAAAGGGUGCGUAGGUGGCAGAUCAAGUCUGGAGUAAAAGGUAUGGGCUCAACCCGUACUGGCUCUGGAAACUGAUCAGCUAGAGAACAGAAGAGGACGGCGGAACUCCAUGUGUAGCGGUAAAAUGCGUAGAUAUAUGGAAGAACACCGGUGGCGAAGGCGGCCGUCUGGUCUGGAUUCUGACACUGAAGCACGAAAGCGUGGGGAGCAAAUAGGAUUAGAUACCCUAGUAGUCCACGCCGUAAACGAUGAGAACUAGGUGUUGGGGGAAUAACUCAGUGCCGCAGUUAACGCAGUAAGUUCUCCGCCUGGGGAGUAUGCACGCAAGUGUGAAACUCAAAGGAAUUGACGGGGGCCCGCACAAGCGGUGGAGUAUGUGGUUUAAUUCGAAGCAACGCGAAGAACCUUACCAGGCCUUGACAUCCCUUGCAGAGGUAUAGAGAUAUAUCCGAGGUAUCAAGGAGACAGGUGGUGCAUGGUUGUCGUCAGCUCGUGCCGUGAGAUGUUGGGUU